CGCCCCAGCCCCCUGAGUACACAGUCCAAGAAGCCUGCUGGAGAAAGAACAGUGUGGUGAAAAUAUAUUCAAGUUUGAUAAACAUCUUGCUCUUCUGACAAGACAACUGAUUAGAACUCGUCUGUUCAUCGAAAUUGGUCAGCUCAGCUCAGAAGUAAAAGGAUGUGUCUCAUUCCUGCAGGCCUAGACCGCCUCUCUUUCCCCUGCACCUCCAUAAUUUCCAGGGAGCGGAGUUCUUACAAUGAGUCCAGAGCAGAAAUUUCCCAGAAACACCUGAUGUUUCCCAGAAACAUCAAAGGCAAACAUGACAAUACUGUUCCAUUUUCUCUACCCCCGCGCCCCCGAGAUGCCACAAUAUGCCUCCUUUACACGGCACUCAGGUGGGUCUGCUUAAUAAUAUUGAUGUCUUUGCUUU
Eptesicus fuscus (big brown bat) is the source of this 415-nucleotide long non-coding RNA. RefSeq lists it as uncharacterized. NCBI's taxonomy places the organism in Eukaryota, Metazoa, Chordata, Mammalia, Chiroptera, Vespertilionidae. The transcript is spliced from 3 exons. The record is from RefSeq and is a predicted model, not a curated record.